AACGAACGCUGGCGGCAGGCCUAACACAUGCAAGUCGAGCGAGAUCUUCGGGUCUAGCGGCGGACGGGUGAGUAACGCGUGGGAAUAUGCCCUUCUCUGCGGAAUAGCCUCGGGAAACUGAGCGUAAUACCGCAUACGCCCUUUGGGGGAAAGAUUUAUCGGAGAAGGAUUAGCCCGCGUUGGAUUAGGUAGUUGGUGGGGUAACGGCCUACCAAGCCGACGAUCCAUAGCUGGUUUGAGAGGAUGAUCAGCCACACUGGGACUGAGACACGGCCCAGACCCCCACGGGAGGCGGCGGUGGGGAUUCUUAGAAAAGGGGGGCACCCCUAAUCUACCCAUGCCGGGUGAGUGAAGAGGCCCUUGGGUUUGAAAACCUUUUUCGGUUGGGAAAAAAAGGAGGGCCCCAGAAAAAGAACCCCGGCCUACCCCCGUC
This 433-nucleotide ribosomal RNA is filed under the name uncultured bacterium. RNAcentral's name for it is "partial 16S ribosomal RNA". It matches the Rfam family "Bacterial small subunit ribosomal RNA", at positions 29 to 507 of the family's 1533-position model. The record is from RNAcentral.